UAAAAGAAGUCACAUUAAGUUCAUUCACACACAUUUCAAUUCAUUCUCUCAAAUGAGUGUCAUCAAUAUAUUUUUCACCAUGGCAAGCUCAAAGAUUCAAUUCAAAAAGCAAUUCCCAAACAUGAAUAUAUCUCAUUGCAAUUGAUUCAACCUAGGUUUAAAGAGUCAUUACAUCAAUGGGGUCAUGGAAAGAAAGCUCAUCCAACAUAGUUCAUCAAUUUGAGUAAAGCAAUCAAAAAGAAGAAGACCGUGGUUGAUCAAACACAAACUGAAAGGAAAACUGAAAAGAAAACGCAAACUAAAAGAAAAAAAAAAACUGAAAGGAAAAUGCAAACUGAAAGGAAAAAUGUGUCUAAAGCAAAAAAUUAAAAAUUUCAGAGAUCCGCACCCCCACACCUAAAUCAUGCAUUGUCCUCAAUGUAUAGAAAACAUAAAAGAACAAAGGAAACUGAGUACUCCCCUGGUGUGGUGUUGUAUGGUG
This 481-nucleotide long non-coding RNA is filed under the name Manihot esculenta (cassava). RNAcentral describes it as "long non-coding RNA (MESC_LNC000347)". The record is from RNAcentral. Lineage: Eukaryota; Viridiplantae; Streptophyta; Magnoliopsida; Malpighiales; Euphorbiaceae.